This 466-nucleotide ribosomal RNA is filed under the name uncultured bacterium. RNAcentral describes it as "partial 16S ribosomal RNA". The record is from RNAcentral.
ACACUAUUCAUGGGUUACCGCGGCUGCUGGCACGGAGUUAGCCGGUGCUUCUUCUGCGAGUAACGUCACAGAUGUAAGGUAUUAACUUACACCCUUUCCUCCUCGCUGAAAGUGCUUUACAACCCGAAGGCCUUCUUCACACACGCGGCAUGGCUGCAUCAGGGUUUCCCCCAUUGUGCAAUAUUCCCCACUGCUGCCUCCCGUAGGAGUCUGGGCCGUGUCUCAGUCCCAGUGUGGCUGAUCAUCCUCUCAGACCAGCUAGGGAUCGUCGCCUAGGUGAGCCUUUAACCUCACCUACUAGCUAAUCCCACCUGGGCUUAUCCAUCAGCGCAAGGCCCGAAGGUCCCCCUGCUUUCCCCCGUAGGGCGUAUGCGGUAUUAGCAGUCGUUUCCAACUGUUAUCCCCCACAAAUGGGCAAAUUCCCAGGCAUUACUCACCCGUCCGCCGCUCGUCAUCUUCAAAAAGC